GACGAACGCUGGCGGUGUGCUUAACACAUGCAAGUCGAACGGUAAGGCCCUUUCGGGGGUACACGAGUGGCGAACGGGUGAGUAACACGUGAGUAACCUGCCCUCAUCUCUGGGAUAACAGUCGGAAACGGUUGCUAAUACUGGAUAUGAGCUUGCAAGGCAUCUUGUGGGUUGGAAAGAUUUUUUUGGUUGGGGAUGGACUCGCGGCCUAUCAGCUUGUUGGUGAGGUAGUGGCUCACCAAGGCUUCGACGGGUAGCCGGCCUGAGAGGGCGACCGGCCACAUUGGGACUGGGAUACGGCCCAAACUCCUACGGGAGGCAGCAGUGGGGAAUACUGCAUAAUGGACGGAAGUCUGAUGCAGCAACGCCGCGUGCGGGAUGACGGCCUUCGGGUUGUAAACCGCUUUCAAUUGUGACGAAGCUUUUUUGUGACGGUAGCAGUAGAAGAAGCACCGGCUAACUACGUG
This 467-nucleotide ribosomal RNA is filed under the name uncultured bacterium. Its description in RNAcentral is "partial 16S ribosomal RNA". It matches the Rfam family "Bacterial small subunit ribosomal RNA", at positions 28 to 507 of the family's 1533-position model. The record is from RNAcentral.